This 702-nucleotide ribosomal RNA is filed under the name uncultured Phenylobacterium sp. Its description in RNAcentral is "bacterial SSU rRNA". It matches the Rfam family "Bacterial small subunit ribosomal RNA", at positions 28 to 776 of the family's 1533-position model. Lineage: Bacteria; Pseudomonadati; Pseudomonadota; Alphaproteobacteria; Caulobacterales; Caulobacteraceae. The record is from RNAcentral.
AGCGAACGCUGGCGGCAGGCCUAAUACAUGCAAGUCGAGCGGUCCCUUCGGGGGCAGCGGCGGACGGGUGAGUAACGCGUGGGAACGUGCCCUUUGGUACGGAACAACUGAGGGAAACUUCAGCUAAUACCGUAUGUGCCCUUCGGGGGAAAGAUUUAUCGCCAUUGGAGCGGCCCGCGUUGGAUUAGGUAGUUGGUGAGGUAAAGGCUCACCAAGCCUACGAUCCAUAGCUGGUCUGAGAGGAUGAUCAGCCACACUGGGACUGAGACACGGCCCAGACUCCUACGGGAGGCAGCAGUAGGGAAUCUUGCGCAAUGGGCGAAAGCCUGACGCAGCCAUGCCGCGUGAAUGAUGAAGGUCUUAGGAUUGUAAAAUUCUUUCACCGGGGACGAUAAUGACGGUACCCGGAGAAGAAGCCCCGGCUAACUUCGUGCCAGCAGCCGCGGUAAUACGAAGGGGGCUAGCGUUGCUCGGAAUUACUGGGCGUAAAGGGAGCGUAGGCGGAUAGUUUAGUCAGAGGUGAAAGCCCAGGGCUCAACCUUGGAAUUGCCUUUGAUACUGGCUAUCUUGAGUAUGGAAGAGGUAUGUGGAACUCCGAGUGUAGAGGUGAAAUUCGUAGAUAUUCGGAAGAACACCAGUGGCGAAGGCGACAUACUGGUCCAUUACUGACGCUGAGGCUCGAAAGCGUGGGGAGCAAACAGG